RNAcentral lists this ribosomal RNA (429 nucleotides) under uncultured bacterium. RNAcentral's name for it is "bacterial SSU rRNA". It matches the Rfam family "Bacterial small subunit ribosomal RNA", at positions 107 to 518 of the family's 1533-position model. The record is from RNAcentral.
UGAGUAACACGUGGACAAUCUGCCCCCCGGCCCGGGAUAGCCCAGGGAAACCUGGAUUAAUACCGGAUGAGACGGGACCCGCGAUGGCGGGACCCGGGAAAGGCGCUGCGGCGCCGCCGGGGGAUGAGUCUGCGUCCCAUUAGCUAGACGGCGGGGUAACGGCCCACCGUGGCGACGAUGGGUAGCCGGCCUGAGAGGGUGGACGGCCACAUUGGAACUGAGACACGGUCCAGACUCCUACGGGAGGCAGCAGCUAAGAAUCUUCCGCAAGUGGGACGAAAGCCUGACGGAGCGAACCGCCGCGUGAACGAAGAAGGCCGUGAGGUUAGUAAAGUUCGUUUCGGGAGGGGGAACAACCGUGGCAGGGAAUGGCCGCGGGAUGACGUGAAUCCCGGAAUAAGCCCCGGCUAACUACGUGCCAGCCGCGGC